RNAcentral lists this ribosomal RNA (497 nucleotides) under uncultured bacterium. Its description in RNAcentral is "partial 16S ribosomal RNA". It matches the Rfam family "Bacterial small subunit ribosomal RNA", at positions 28 to 507 of the family's 1533-position model. The record is from RNAcentral.
GAUGAACGCUGGCGGCGUGCCUAAUACAUGCAAGUCGAGCGAACAGAUGAGGAGCUUGCUCCUCUGACGUUAGCGGCGGACGGGUGAGUAACACGUGGAUAACCUACCUAUUAGACUGGGAUAACUUCGGGAAACCGCAGCUAAUACCGGAUAAUAUAUCGAACCGCAUGGUUCAAUAGUGAAAGGCGGUUUUGCUGUCACUUAUAGAUGGAUCCGCGCCGCAUUAGCUAGUUGGUAAGGUAACGGCUUACCAAGGCAACGAUGCGUAGCCGACCUGAGAGGGUGAUCGGCCACACUGGAACUGAGACACGGUCCAGACUCCUACGGGAGGCAGCAGUAGGGAAUCUUCCGCAAUGGGCGAAAGCCUGACGGAGCAACGCCGCGUGAGUGAUGAAGGUCUUCGGAUCGUAAAACUCUGUUAUUAGGGAAGAACAAAUGUGUAAGUAACUAUGCACGUCUUGACGGUACCUAAUCAGAAAGCCACGGCUAACUACGUG